AGAGUUUGAUCAUGGCUCAGGACGAACGCUGGCGGCGUGCUUAAUACAUGCAAGUCGAACGAGGUCCAUCCGGUGGCAACACCGGUGAAGAUCUAGUGGCGAACGGGUGAGUAGCACGUGAGCAACCUGCCCCGAAGACUGGGAUAACACCGGGAAACCGGUGCUAAUACCGGAUACCCCCAUCGGACCGCAUGGUCCGAUGAGGAAAGGAUUCUGCUUCGGGAGGGGCUCGCGGCCUAUCAGCUUGAUGGUGAGGUAACGGCUCACCAUGGCAACGACGGGUAGCUGGUCUGAGAGGACGAUCAGCCACACUGGGACUGAGACACGGCCCAGACUCCUACGGGAGGCAGCAGUAGGGAAUCUUGCGCAAUGGGCGAAAGCCUGACGCAGCAACGCCGCGUGAGGGACGAAGGCUUUCUGAGUUGUAAACCUCUUUCAGCAGGGACGAUUGUGACGGUACCUGCAGAAGAAGCACCGGCCAACUACGUGCCAGCAGCCGCGGUGAUACGUAGGGUGCGAGCGUUGUCCGGAUUUAUUGGGCGUAAAGAGCUCGUAGGCGGUUCGAUAAGUCGGGUGUGAAAUCUCCAGGCUCAACCUGGAGUCGCCACUUGAUACUGUCGUGACUAGAGUCCGGUAGGGGACCAUGGAACUCCUGGUGUAGCGGUGAAAUGCGCAGAUAUCAGGAAGAACACCAGUAGCGAAGGCGGUGGUCUGGGCCGGCACUGACGCUGAGGAGCGAAAGCGUGGGGAGCGAACAGGAUUAGAUACCCUGGUAGUCC
RNAcentral lists this ribosomal RNA (779 nucleotides) under uncultured bacterium. Its description in RNAcentral is "bacterial SSU rRNA". It matches the Rfam family "Bacterial small subunit ribosomal RNA", at positions 8 to 796 of the family's 1533-position model. The record is from RNAcentral.